RNAcentral lists this ribosomal RNA (483 nucleotides) under uncultured bacterium. Its description in RNAcentral is "partial 16S ribosomal RNA". It matches the Rfam family "Bacterial small subunit ribosomal RNA", at positions 28 to 507 of the family's 1533-position model. The record is from RNAcentral.
GACGAACGCUGGCGGCGUGCUUAACACAUGCAAGUCGAACGCUGAAGCUCAGCUUUUGUUGGGUGGAUGAGUGGCGAACGGGUGAGUAACACGUGAGUAACCUGCCCCCUUCUUUGGGAUAACGCCCGGAAACGGGUGCUAAUACUGGAUAUUCACUGGUCUUCGCAUGGGGGUUGGUGGAAAGGGUUUUUCUGGUGUGGGGUGGGCUCGCGGCCUAUCAGCUUGUUGGUGGGGUGAUGGCCUAACAAGGCGUUGACGGGUAGCCGGCCUGAGAGGGUGACCGGGAACAUUGGGACGGAGAUACGGCCCAGAGUAGUACGCGAGGCAGCAGUGGGGAAUAUUGCAGAAUGGGCGAAAGCCUGAUGCAGCGACGCCGCGUGAGGGAUGGAGGCCUUCGGGUUGUGAACCUCUUUCGCUCAUGGUCAAGCCGCAACAAUGGUUGUGGUGAGGGUAGUGGGUAAAGAAGCGCCGGCUAACUACGUG